Long non-coding RNA from Falco peregrinus (peregrine falcon), 2589 nucleotides. RefSeq lists it as uncharacterized. Lineage: Eukaryota; Metazoa; Chordata; Aves; Falconiformes; Falconidae. The record is from RefSeq and is a predicted model, not a curated record. The transcript has 3 exons.
UUUCCUCUGCAGCUCUUCCCCAGGCGAGAGGGUGCGAGAAGCUGUACUUCCCUCUUACCCUGCUCUGCUGGGCCCAGAGCUGAGGAGAGCCACCUGCCCACCCUUGCAGCCUGACCUGCCCCGCGGUGGGGCACCAGGGCAGGGGGCAGAGCUGGGGAGGGGGCACGCAGGCACAGCCCCCACCCGCGCCCUCCCAGCUUCCCAUCAGUGGAGCCAGUCGCUGGGGGUCCGCAGUACCACAUAAAGGGCUCCUGCUACAUGAAGCGUAAAGGUGAUGGCCUGGCUGCAGUGCUUCUGAAGUCCUUCAGAUGCAGACUGAAGAGCAGAAGGAAAAACACAACACAGGACCACUAUACUGAAAGACCUGAAGAACAUGUGCUAAAAAUUCAAUGGGGAAAGAAAGGUGCUACAAAAGCUUCCACUACUGCACCUUAUCCUGCACAGUGGGCAAGCUCCGUGACUGGGCCAGAAGACUCACCUACAGAUGGACACACCAUGCAGGAACUUCCCAGUUACUGACAGACUCCUCACACCGGCUGCAACAGGGUUUCCCAGCUAAAGUGUGGGCCUGGAUGAUGUUAUUAAGGUAAUCGGUGGUAUAACCUUUCCUUUGCAGUAAUGAUUUGAUGCAUCGCUCCUAUUGCUUUUUUAUCGUACUGUGUAUAUUAAUUAGUACUGUUUCCUUUUAUCAUAAUACACACUGUUGUCCUUUAUUGUACUGUAACAAACUACAUUUAUUUUUAUAUUUGAUUUGGAGUCCACUUUUGCUUGAAGUGCAAUCAGUCAGCAAAACAGGUCCACAAUCAUGCUUGGUACAAUGUAUAUGUGGAAAUAUCCAUCACAAAUACAGUGAUAUUCUGUAUCUUUUGGUUCUGUUGAGUAGCUGUUGGAUUUAGUGGGCAGCUGUUAGCAGACCAAAAGGAUUUGACAAAGGAAUCAAAGAUGUGCAAAAGGCCUAAAUACUAAGAUAUAGUGUUAUUUAAGCUGUUCUUACUGCCUGACAUUAAUCUAUUCAGAUAAAGGAACUUGUUAUUCUUUCAGAAACUAAAAGCCAAAGGAAGAGACUCAAAACAUUCCAGGAUCCCAGAUCAAGAUGACAGACUUUGGCAGGCUUAAAAGCAGACGAGAUGGAACAAGAUGAAGGGAUCUAUCUAGGCAGCAUCCAGGAGACAAACGGGCAACAUACCUCAAGCAGAGAUGACUGCAAGGGGAUAAGAUGAAAUGUGCUAAUGCUUUGAAAGGACACCCUACCAAGCAUGCUGCAGGUCAGAGGCCUCCUCCCUCAGCACAGACUAUAUCCUUGACCUACCACACCCUGAAGGAACAACCAUCUCAACCUCCCUUUGCUAGGCCUAAAGUCUUAAGUCCUUUCAGAAGGUAUGCCCCAUCAUUCCACGAAACAUAUUUUCUGUGCCACACUGGUCUGAACAAACCUUUUUUGGAUGCGUAAUCUGAAUCUGGAGUGCUUUAUCUGAUGAGUUUUCUUUCACACCUUACACAGUUGAAUUAUUUCACCCCUGGACAGAAGAAAACACCUUUUCCAUGGUAAACUCUCCAGCUGUCCUCUUCAUAGCAGAUUACAGUGGUGUCCAUACUGAACAAACUAACAAGUGCUCAAGUUGAGGAUUUAGAUGUUGUAUGUUUCUACAAAGUCUGGUUACUCAGAAGCAAAAUGCCUCCAGUAGCUCUACAGACAUGAUCCAGUGUUAUGUGGCACAAGGCACUGAUCAUGAGAGAAAACAGAUCUCCUAAAAAACCCAUGCCUCAGAGUAUUGUUACAAUUCAGCCUGCUUCUAAGACCAAGUAUCACUUUUUCCGUGCAAACAGAAAGCCAAACUUUGAAAAUAAUCAAGAAUCCAAAACUAUCAAAACAAGCAGAAAAUGAGCCAGAGCUACCUUGAUCACAAAGGAGCAGAGAACUGCUUAACAGCUGCUAUAAUGGAUGUUAAGGAUAGCCAUAAUCUAUGUAUUGGUAUUUGUGUAAUUCCGUAUACUUAGUACACAGCCUGUAAUCACAAAGGAGCAAAGAGCUGCUUAACAGCUGCUAUAAUGGAUGUUAAGGAUAGCCAUAAUCUAUGUAUUGGUAUUUGUAUAAUUCCUUAUACUUAGUACACAGCCUGCACCUAAGGCUGAAAAGUGAAGGAAGCUAAGCAACCAAUUCUGAAGUUUGGCAUUUCUUAUGUAUGUUGUAUGACAGAUAUACAACCAUCAAAUGUAAUCAUACUGAAUAUGGAGAGCAGCAAAGCAUUAAUGAAGAAGCAGAGAUGUGAAACCCUGCGUGAGGGAAAGGGUCAGUUUGUUAACAUGAAUAGGUAUGAGCCAGACUGAGAUUUAACUGUCCGAGGUUGUUCAAGGAGUAGGCUAAUUCUCUUCUCAUGAAUUCAGUCAAACAUGGCAUAAUGGAGGCAAAGUUAGAUAGCUGUACAUUAACUGAAUAUCAAAUGCAUAUGGAUGGGCACACAUACAUAUAUGCUACAUAUUUCUUUGUGCAUUUCUAGGAUGAAACAGGUCAGGCACAGGUGGAAUCUUGAUAUCAGCUAGUACUGAAAGAGGAACUAACCAAGAUUUUUUCUAAUUGUGAAUCUUACU